This 468-nucleotide ribosomal RNA is filed under the name uncultured bacterium. RNAcentral's name for it is "partial 16S ribosomal RNA". It matches the Rfam family "Bacterial small subunit ribosomal RNA", at positions 28 to 507 of the family's 1533-position model. The record is from RNAcentral.
GACGAACGCUGGCGGCGUGCUUAAUACAUGCAAGUCGAACGAACAGACGAUGCUCUUGUGCGGUGCACGAGAGCCGCACGCGGGAGUAUCACGCGUGUAACCUCCCCUUGUCUUAGGGAUAAAACCUCGAGAAUGGGGCGAUUACAGCAUAGGAUAUCUUGCACCAUGGUGGUGGAUGGAAAAUUUCGGCGGUUGUGGCUGGUCUGGCGGGUUAUCAGCUUGUUAGUCGAGUUGUGGCUUACCAAGUUUUUGAAGGGUAGCCGGCCUUGGAGGGCGACCGGCCACAUUGGGACUAAGAUACGGCCCAGACUCCUACGGUAGGCAGAAGGGGGGAAUAUUGCACAAUGGGGGGGAGCCAGUUGCAGCAACGCCGCGUGCGGAAAGACGGCCUUCGAGUUGUAAACCGCUUUCGCCUGAGACGAGGCGUGAGUGACGGUAAUGGGUAAAGAAGCACCGGCUAACUACGUG